GGGGAAUAUUGGACAAUGGGCGAAAGCCUGAUCCAGCCAUGCCGCGUGUGUGAAGAAGGUCUUCGGAUUGUAAAGCACUUUAAGUUGGGAGGAAGGGCAGUAAGUUAAUACCUUGCUGUUUUGACGUUACCAACAGAAUAAGCACCGGCUAACUUCGUGCCAGCAGCCGCGGUAAUACGAAGGGUGCAAGCGUUAAUCGGAAUUACUGGGCGUAAAGCGCGCGUAGGUGGUUUGGUAAGAUGGAUGUGAAAUCCCCGGGCUCAACCUGGGAACUGCAUUUGAUACUGGAAGUCUUGAGUAUGGUAGAGGUGAGUGGAAUUCCGAGUGUAGAGGUGAAAUUCGUAGAUAUUCGGAGGAACACCAGUGGCGAAGGCGGCUCACUGGACCAUUACUGACGCUGAGGUGCGAAAGCGUGGGGAGCAAACA
This 426-nucleotide ribosomal RNA is filed under the name uncultured Pseudomonadota bacterium. RNAcentral describes it as "bacterial SSU rRNA". It matches the Rfam family "Bacterial small subunit ribosomal RNA", at positions 356 to 774 of the family's 1533-position model. The record is from RNAcentral. Lineage: Bacteria; Pseudomonadati; Pseudomonadota.